AGAGCGAACGCUGGCGGCAGGCCUAAAACAUGCAAGUCGAACGGACCCUUCGGGGUUAGUAGCGGACGGGUGAGUAACACGUGGGAACGUGCCUUUUGGUUCAGAACAACUCAGGGAAACUUGAGCUAAUACUGAAUAAGCCCUACGGGGGAAAGAUUUAUCGCCAUUAGAGCGGCCCGCGUUGGAUUAGCUAGUUGGUGAGGUAAAGGCUCACCAAGGCUACGAUCCAUAGCUGGUCUGAGAGGAUGAUCAGCCACACUGGGACUGAGACACGGCCCAGACUCCUACGGGAGGCAGCAGUUAGGAAUCUUGCGCAAUGGGCGAAAGCCUGACGCAGCCAUGCCGCGUGAAUGAUGAAGGUCUUAGGAUUGUAAAAUUCUUUCAGCGGGGAAGAUAAUGACUGUACCCGCAGAAGAAGCUCCGGCUAACUUCGUGCCAGCAGCCGC
RNAcentral lists this ribosomal RNA (446 nucleotides) under uncultured bacterium. RNAcentral's name for it is "SSU rRNA". It matches the Rfam family "Bacterial small subunit ribosomal RNA", at positions 26 to 518 of the family's 1533-position model. The record is from RNAcentral.